AUUGAACGCUGGCGGCAGGCCUAACACAUGCAAGUCGAGCGAGCGGCGGACGGGUGAGUAAUGUAUGGGGACUGCCCGAUAGAGGGGGAUAACUACUGGAAACGGUGGCUAAUACCGCAUACUAUCGGAUAACCCAUAUGGGAUUAGCGAGUAGGUGGGGUAAAGGCUCACCUAGGCGACGAUCUCUAGCUGGGCUGAGAGGAGGAACAUCCCCCCUGGGACUGAGAAACGGCCCAGGCUACCCCAUAACCACCAAUAUAAAAUAUUCCACAAUGCACGCAAGCCUGAUUGAGCCAUGCCGCGUGUAUGAAGAAUGCCUUAGGGUUAUAACGUACUGUCAGCGGGGAGGCGUUACCCGCAGAAGAAGCACCGGCUAACUCCGUGCCAGCAGCCGCGGUAAUAC
Molecule: ribosomal RNA, 403 nt
Filed under: uncultured bacterium
Lineage: Bacteria
Description: partial 16S ribosomal RNA
Rfam family: Bacterial small subunit ribosomal RNA
Source: RNAcentral